CUUGGCCAAACGCACCCAGCAGGAUUCUUGCUAAAAUUCGUCUAGGCUGGCCAAGGGCGAGGCCCCGUCAGCAAGGGACUCGAAGAGCCUAGGCAGUUAGGUCGGGGAGAGUCGCCAGCUAUGCGUCAGCCGUGGUCUGGGCUGCUUGCACCCCUCGGUCCUAUUUAAUUCUCUCAACAGCCCUAUGAGGUGGAGGUUGUGAUGUCUUAUUUACAGACAAGGAGACUGUCAAGGUGCUAAGCCAGCGCCAAACGAAACGCCCUAAAUAAACUCAGCCUUCUGCUCAAGGAUCUCACAGUGGGCAGACAGAGACUACAGUAGGUGGGCGCUUGGCUUCUAGGAGCCCAGACAGGCCCCACAGCAAGGGCCAAAGGAGAUUCGAACCCAGGAGCCCCUGAUUCUCUUCCACAAUGGCCAGGAAUAGGGCUCUGGCCCUUCACAGUGAGUAGGGAGCACUGCCAGCCAGGCAGCGACAAACACCCCUUUUGCCAGCUUGUUUGUGUUUUCAGAACGGGCUUGUUGAGAUGAAUUACAGGUGCAGGUGAAAUGUUUUCAUAAAAGAAGAGAAGAGCAGCCUUUCGCCGUGGGGUUUCUCUUCCUGGAGGCUCGUUGCCAGUUCCUCCACCUCCCCUCCUUGCCGGCAGCCUUGGAAUUGGCCACUGAGCUGGCAGACCCGUUUGAGUGCUGCAGAAGGCGCCGGACAAACCAAGAAAAGGUGUCGUUUAUGU
RNAcentral lists this long non-coding RNA (728 nucleotides) under Equus caballus (horse). RNAcentral describes it as "lncRNA (ENSECAG00000050607.1)". Lineage: Eukaryota; Metazoa; Chordata; Mammalia; Perissodactyla; Equidae. The record is from RNAcentral.